This is a long non-coding RNA of Ailuropoda melanoleuca (giant panda), 854 nucleotides long. RefSeq lists it as uncharacterized. Lineage: Eukaryota; Metazoa; Chordata; Mammalia; Carnivora; Ursidae. The record is from RefSeq and is a predicted model, not a curated record. The transcript has 3 exons.
UAGGAGUGACAGCGCAUGCACACACAGACACAGACACACAGCUACUGCCGCACAUCUGCAAGGAGACAGCAAAGUACUUUGUCAGAUUAUUGAGAAUCACUGAAUAGGCAUUUUAUAAGUAUGAGAUGAACAUCUGAAAGCAAGUCUUACUACUUCUUCCUGCUUUUGCUGACAAAUGAUCUGUUUCCAUGUAUUCCCUUAUUCGUCAGAAGGUGGAGAGUGAUUCUCUGCUUUUUAAACCAAGAAGCCCAGGGCCCAUUACUCCUUACAUGGCAGCAUCACCCACCCAGGCUUCACACCCGUCAAGCCAAUGCUUGCUGCAGCCCAGGGGGCCAGACAUGAGGAUUACCGCACAUUAGCAGCACUGACCCCAAGUUUACCACCACCCAGAGUCCCCGUUACCAAAGGGCCUGGGCCACCUUUCUCAGACAUGACAGAGCUGCUGGACUGGAGAAUGUCAGACUCAAUGUGACCACAGAAUAAUAGAAUGCAUGAUGAUCUUAACAACGAAGUUACCUGGAGGAUGAGGCAGAGGGGUUCCAUGGCCACUGACCAGAGCUGACUGGAAUGAACAAAGAUCGGUAUCCUUGAACCCAGACCUCACUGACCUUCUGCCCAGGAGCUGGCAGUCUGGUGGGCAAGAGCAGACUUGUCACAAGCGUGAUGACAUGAGAGAAAACAUCAGUUUCCCACUUGACCAUGAAAAUAAAGGAUGGAUCAAUGCAACUCUACUAACAAUAUCGCCUGCCAAUUUCUGAGUGUCUAAUAAGUGCCAAGUACUUAAAUAUAUUCUUUCACUUAGUCAUUGUAAUGACCCUACAAAAGUGGGUGGUUUCUUCAUCUUACAGACACAA